This 837-nucleotide ribosomal RNA is filed under the name uncultured archaeon. RNAcentral describes it as "bacterial SSU rRNA". It matches the Rfam family "Archaeal small subunit ribosomal RNA", at positions 85 to 922 of the family's 1478-position model. The record is from RNAcentral.
ACGGCUCAGUAACACGUGGAUAACCUGCCCUUAGGUUCGGCAUAACUCCGGGAAACUGGAGAUAAUUCCGAAUAGGUCAAAUAUGCUGGAAUGCUUUUUGACCAAAAGACCUCGGUUGCCUAAGGAUGGAUCUGCGGUCUAUCAGGUAGUAGUGGGUGUAACGUACCUACUAGCCUACGACGGAUAUGGGUUGUGAGAGCAAGAGCCCAGAGAUGGAUUCUGAGACAUGAAUCCAGGCCCUACGGGGCGCAGCAGGCGCGAAAACUUUACAAUGCGGGAAACCGCGAUAAGGGGACACCGAGUGCCAGCAUUUAUGUUGGCUGUCCACAUGUGUAAACGGCAUGUGUUAGCAAGGGCCGGGCAAGACCGGUGCCAGCCGCCGCGGUAACACCGGCGGCCCGAGUGGUAAUCACUUUUAUUGGGUCUAAAGGGUCCGUAGCCGGUUUGAUCAGUUCUUCGGGAAAUCUGACAGCUCAACUGUUAGGCUUCCGGGGAAUACUGUCAGACUUGGGACCGGGAGAGGUAAGAGGUACUACAGGGGUAGGAGUGAAAUCUUGUAAUCCCUGUGGGACCACCAGUGGCGAAGGCGUCUUACCAGAACGGGUCCGACGGUGAGGGACGAAAGCUGGGGGCACGAACCGGAUUAGAUACCCGGGUAGUCCCAGCCGUAAACGAUGUUCGCUAGGUGUCAGGGGCGGUGCGACCGCUUCUGGUGCCGUAGGGAAGCCGUGAAGCGAACCACCUGGGAAGUACGGCCGCAAGGCUGAAACUUAAAGGAAUUGGCGGGGGAGCACUACAACGGGUGGAGCCUGCGGUUUAAUUGGAGUCAACGCCGGG